GUUUUAAUAGUUUAAUUAAAAAACAAUGGUUUUGUAAAUCAUUAAUAGGUAAAUCCUUUAAAACU
RNAcentral lists this transfer RNA (65 nucleotides) under Callitettix biformis. RNAcentral's name for it is "tRNA-Thr". It matches the Rfam family "tRNA". From Rfam's summary of the family: Transfer RNA (tRNA) molecules are approximately 80 nucleotides in length. Their secondary structure includes four short double-helical elements and three loops (D, anti-codon, and T loops). The record is from RNAcentral. Lineage: Eukaryota; Metazoa; Arthropoda; Insecta; Hemiptera; Cercopidae.